GGGGCUAUUCUUGGUUUCUAUUGGGAGAAUUCGUCAGACUCCUAUUGCUAUCCGGGAGAUGUUUGUGACUUCCGAAAUCAACACAUUCAUCCUUAAACGGAACACGAAUUGCUAAAGGUCUUGCUGCUUUCAAAGCUUCAACUACUCCUUCACUAUCAUUUGCAUAGUGUAAAACGUGGCCUCUCUUAGGAGAUGAGUGCGAUUGCCUGCCACACCAUUUAUACAAACUUGCGUUUAGGAGACAUUGUAUGAAUUAUUUUAAUCUAAACCGUGAUUUGAGUAUUUUAAAAAUAUUUUAGCUCUCGUCUCGCAACUCAAAACGUUUCUCUCUUCAGCUUUGUCUGUUUUCUCGUUUGAAGGGGAGUAUCUAAAACAGACUAUGAUAGUAGACGUACGAGCUGGCCUCCCAAGACGUGGGUUCAAAUCCCACUAGCUCCACCA
This 441-nucleotide transfer-messenger RNA is filed under the name Patescibacteria group. RNAcentral describes it as "JAACSU01 sp010119145 Standard tmRNA". It matches the Rfam family "transfer-messenger RNA". Rfam says of the family: Bacterial tmRNA, also known as 10Sa RNA or SsrA, is named for its dual tRNA and mRNA-like properties. The record is from RNAcentral. RNAcentral also lists the same sequence under 1 other name.